AAAGAUUCCGUCCAAUGCUGCAAACGUGGCUCGGGUCUGAAUGUCUAAUUAAGCUCAAUGGUUCACUGAUCCAAAAACAUAAUAACAUAAGAGAGAGCUAGCAACAUGUAUACUAUUUCAUUUUUUUUAGAGUUUUUCAGCCAAUGAGAGAGCUCUAUUUCAGAUCCACUCGCACAAAGUGCGCGUUGAGCGAGUGAGAGCGAUUCUGUGGGUGUACCCCUUUCCAAAUCAUGCCUUUUUCAAUCGACGCAUUCCUCUCCGAAAUACACAUCGCGUGACUUUUGUUUUUUUGCUUUCUUCUCUAAACCAAUGUAAACCGAACCAAUAUCGAUUUUAAUUCCAAAACCACAUAAUUUUACAUUUUCUCCUCUUUUCGGAUGUGAUAAAUUUUUUUCUUUUUUCCAGAUUCGGUUCAUUAAAAUGAAAUAUUAAUUGUAUGAUUCCUUUUUUUUUUUCUUCUUCAUACCUUUUCUUCUUGCUUUUUAGUUCUGUUUCUUUGCAUGUAUUGAAUUGAC
Arabidopsis thaliana (thale cress) is the source of this 515-nucleotide long non-coding RNA. RefSeq annotates it as other RNA. The record is from RefSeq. The transcript has a single exon. NCBI's taxonomy places the organism in Eukaryota, Viridiplantae, Streptophyta, Magnoliopsida, Brassicales, Brassicaceae.